RNAcentral lists this ribosomal RNA (465 nucleotides) under Vreelandella stevensii. Its description in RNAcentral is "partial 16S ribosomal RNA". It matches the Rfam family "Bacterial small subunit ribosomal RNA", at positions 338 to 795 of the family's 1533-position model. The record is from RNAcentral. Lineage: Bacteria; Pseudomonadati; Pseudomonadota; Gammaproteobacteria; Oceanospirillales; Halomonadaceae.
CCUACGGGGGGCAGCAGUGGGGAAUAUUGGACAAUGGGGGGAACCCUGAUCCAGCCAUGCCGCGUGUGUGAAGAAGGCCCUCGGGUUGUAAAGCACUUUCAGUGAGGAAGAACGCCUGGUGGUUAAUACCCAUCAGGAAAGACAUCACUCACAGAAGAAGCACCGGCUAACUCCGUGCCAGCAGCCGCGGUAAUACGGAGGGUGCGAGCGUUAAUCGGAAUUACUGGGCGUAAAGCGCGCGUAGGUGGCUUGAUAAGCCGGUUGUGAAAGCCCCGGGCUCAACCUGGGAACGGCAUCCGGAACUGUCAAGCUAGAGUGCAGGAGAGGAAGGUAGAAUUCCCGGUGUAGCGGUGAAAUGCGUAGAGAUCGGGAGGAAUACCAGUGGCGAAGGCGGCCUUAUGGACUGACACUGACACUGAGGUGCGAAAGCGUGGGUAGCAAACAGGAUUAGAUACCCCAGUAGUC